AUGAACAGUGAUGGUGAAUGGUGGUGGAUGAGUCACGGACAAUGAAUACUACAUGUCUGGAUUCCGAGGUCCAG
This is a small nucleolar RNA of Panthera leo (lion), 74 nucleotides long. The record is from Ensembl. NCBI's taxonomy places the organism in Eukaryota, Metazoa, Chordata, Mammalia, Carnivora, Felidae.